AGGCCGUGGGCCCGGCCAGCAGAGGGCGCCGCAGAGCACCACGCCCGGGCUGAGCUGUGCGGGGCCCUGCCUUGCUGCGCGGUGGGCAUGCCGGCCUGGCUGCGAUGGGAGAGGGCUACGCUGGGGAGCUGAGGCACGAUCGAGCACCCACAAGUUUCAGCCAUUGUGCUGGGAGUAAAGAGGGGAACGAGGUGCAUGCCCGGAGAACCGCACCCGCCAUCCAAGUGACAGAGGUCAGCCCAGGACUGGGAGAGCUUGGAGGAGGGGCCGCCUACCUAGAGAGAACAGCUCUGCCUGACUUCCUCUCUCCAUCACCCUCUGCAUUCCUGCCGGUCAGUCCUUCUUUCAGCCACUUUCCGGUACACUCAUCAGCUCUGGAACUUGGCACCUGUGGUUCUUCCACCCUGUUGGCUAGACAACCCAUUCUCAAGCCACUGGAAGCCUUCCAUGACACCCAACAAGGUCAAGUCGCUGCCCAUAUGUGCUGCUCAAGUGGCUUCUCUGCCCUUCAAAUAUGCCUCAUCACACCUUAUGAAUGAUUGGGUAGUCAGUUCCACGAGAGCAGGACUGCUUUGCCUGUUCUCAGGUGUUUCUCCAGCACCUGGCACCGCACAUCGUGUUGUGCUCAAAAAGAGUUUGCUGAAAGAAUGAAUAACGACUGAAGUUAAGAAAGAAUGAUGAAGUACUCAAGGCCAAAUGCCUGGGGAACCGGACUUAAGUCAGUUGACCUUCACACCCCCUCCAUCAUCUUUUGGCCAUAGUUUAUGGUCUUUGAUCAGUUCCCCAGGGUUAGAGAUGCACAGCCACAGUUAGUAAACAUUUAAGCUGUCAGGUGUUUUCUCACCGAUCAAAUAAUAAGCAGGGGCCAGGCGUGGUGGCUCACUCCUGUAAUCCCAGCACUUUGGGAGGCUUAGGUGGGUGGAUCAUCUGAGGUCAGGAGUUCGAAACCAGCCUGGCCAACAUGGCUCCGUCUCUACUAAAAACACAAAACCCCGUCUCUACUAAAAACACAAAAAUUAGCCGGCGUCGUGGGUGCCUGUAAUCCUGGCUACUCUGGAGGCUGAGACAGGAGAAUCGCUUGAAUCCGGGAGGCGGAGGUUCGGUGAGCCGAGAUCGUGCCACUGCACUCCAGCCUGGGCAACAGAGCAAGACGCUGUCUCAAAAAAAAAAAAAAAAAAAAAAAAAAAGCAGGGACGAAGUGAAACUUUUUCAGUGGAUACUAGCUUAAAGGCUUCAAGUCCUGCCUGGAAUACUUUGUGCGCUGGUCGUUGCCACACCUGGCUGGAGCAGCAGGGCCUCUCUCGGAAGCCACGUGAGCUUUUUGCUCACCGGAUCUGGGCUCCCAGCUGCGCUUCCAGAAAUAGCCACCAGGUGGUGGCAGAAGCUAAGAGUCCGGGCUUAGGGCGAGCCGGCCAGCCCCGAACCACCGGCAGGGGGCGCUGCUUCUCCGCCAGGUGAGCGGGUGCAGCGGAGGUAGGCCAGAUGUACCUGCUGGGCUAAGGGGGGCUGGGCCUGUCCCACCAGGAGUGGGUGGAGGGGAAGGUCCUAAUAGCAGCAGGGAAGGAAGGCUGGGUGGCCUCUUUACUCUUCUUUGUACACUAGGAACUUGACCCCUACUUUAUGGGAUUUAUGGGCAAACUGUGAAGGUCUGUAAGUCCUCUAUUGCAGCCACUCAACGCUGCCCUUGUGGUGUGGGACAAUCCGUGGGUGCAUGGGGGUGGUUGUUCAGAUGUCACAAAACGCAGCUGUCCCUCGGGUUCCAUGGGGCUUUGGUUCCAGGACCUUCUACUUAAUACCAAAAUUCGCAGGUGCUCAAGUCCCUGCUAUAAAAUGGAGUAGUAUUUGCAUAUAACCUAUGCACACCUUCUGUUUACUUUAAUUAUCUCCGGAUUACUCAGAAGACCUAAUACGAUGAAAUGCUGUAUAGAUAGUUUUUUUUUUUUUUGAGAUGGAGUCUCGCUCUGUCACCCUGGCUGGAGUGCAGUGGUGUGAUCUCGGUUCACUGCAACCUCCGCCUCCCAGGUUCAAGCGAUUCUCCUGCCUCAGCCUCUGGAGUAGCUAGGACUAUAGGCACCCGCCACCAUGCCCGGCUAAUUUUUGUAUUUUUAGUAGAGAUGGUGUUUCACCAUGUUGGCCAGGAUGGUCUCGAUCUCUUGACCUAGAGAUCUGCCCGCCUCGGCCUCCCAAAGUGCUGGGGUUACAGGCGUGAGCCACCGUGCCCGGCUGCCAUAGUUGUUAUACUAUAUUGCUUAGGGAAUCAUCACAAGAAAAAAGUCUGUACAUGUUUAGUACAGAAACAAUUUUGUGUUUUGGAAUAUUGUCCAUCUGUGGUUGAUUGAAUCCGUGGAUAUGGAGGAUCAACUGUAUUGUUCUUCUUCCUUUAUUUUUUUGGACAGAGUUUCGCUCUUGUUGUCCAGGCUGGAGUGCAACGGUGCGAUCUUGGCUUACCGCAACCUUUACCUCCUGGGUUCAAGCGAUUCUCUUGCCUCAGCCUCCUGAGUAACUGGGGUUAUAGACAUGCAUCACCACGCCCGGCUAAUUUUGUAUUUUUAGUAGAGAUGAGGUUUCACCAUUUUGGUCAGGCUGGUCUCGAAUUCCUGACCUCAAGUGAUCCACCCACCUUGGCUUCCCAAAGUGUUGGGAUUACAGGCGUGAGCCACUACGCCUGGCUGUCUUCUUCCUUCCUUUCUUUUUUUUUUAAAGACAAGAUCCUAUUCUAUUACACAGGCUGGAGUGCAGUGGCACAAUCAUAGCUCACUGCACCUUCGAAUUCCGGGGCUCAAAUGAUUCUCCCACUUCAGUCUUCUCAGUGGGUGGGACUAUAGGCACACACCACCAUGCCUGGCUAAUUAAACAUUCUCUUGUUGUUGUUGUUGUUGAGAUAGGGUCUUGCUUUCUUGCCCACGCUGGUCUCAAACUCCUGGCUUCAAGUGAUCCUCCUGCCUUGGCAUCUCAAGGUGUUGAGAUUACAGGCACGAGCCACUGCACCCAGCCUGUUCUUUUGAUUUUUAAAAGAACUACCUAAAAAUGUGAAAAUCAUUCAUAGCUCUUGGGGCCGCACAAGACAGGCGGGGGGCUCUGACUAGGUAAAGUCUCACACCAAUGCCUGACCCAUAAAAGGUGCCCAAUUCAUGGCAGGUGUUGCCAGCCCACCCAGGAGCUCACAGCCAGGGCUCCAUGGCUCCAUUCUCCUGCCACCCCUGGAGUGGGGGGUGGGAUGGGGGGUGGGACUCUGUCCUUCCGAUUGUGGCCCCUGGCUCUCUUCCACUUUGUAGAAAGCACUCAGUGAAGGUUAGCUGUCAUCUGUCCUCCCUGGCUGCAUGUCCACGCCUGCAGGCCUCUGCUCUUGCAGUUCCUCCUCCUGGUGAAUCCCCUGUCCUUGACAUCUUUCAAGGAACCACCACCACAAUCAAGACAGAGAACAUUCCCUACACCCCAAACAUGUCCCUCGUGCCCCUUCCCAGUCGACCUUGACUUACAAAAAAAAUCUCCCAAUUACCAAGUGCUUGCAGGGUGUCAGGCGCCACGGAGGCCCUUGGCCAGUUGGUCUCACUGAAGCCUCUGGGACCUGGUGAUGUGAGGGCAGUUGUUACAGGUGGUACCUUAGGGCUGAGGGCUCUGAGGCCACGAUGGGCAGGAGGCAGAGCUGGGACCUGAAUCCAGGCGCAUCCCUUAGCCACUCUCCUGCCCUGCCUGUCCCCCAGCCCUUCGUGUUCCUAGGGCCACGUUGCUCACACCUCCUUUACUCCUGGCUAAUCUGGGUGUGGCCUGGGACCCACAGCCUUGGCAUCCGCUGGGAGCUGUUGGGAAAUGCAGAGUGUCGGGCCAGAUCCCACACUACCGAGUUAGCACCUGCUGUUCUGAGGCUCGGAAGCUCUGUCUUGAGGCGGGCUCUUCCUGGGAAGUGGUGGCCGUGUCUGCGUCCCCUUCCCUGCUCACUGUGAGCUCCUGCUGGGCAGGUGCUCAGCCCUCUGGUGCUCACUUCGGGGCCUGGCCCUCGGCCCCCUGUGAAUCAAAGUUAAAUGAACAGAUGAAGGGAAGGGCAGGUGGUCAGAGCUUUGCGUGAG
Molecule: long non-coding RNA, 4067 nt
Organism: Macaca fascicularis (crab-eating macaque)
Lineage: Eukaryota; Metazoa; Chordata; Mammalia; Primates; Cercopithecidae
Source: Ensembl